GACGAACGCUGGCGGCGUGCUUAACACAUGCAAGUCGAACGGUAAGGCCUUUCGGGGUACACGAGUGGCGAACGGGUGAGUAACACGUGGGUGAUCUGCCCUGCACUUCGGGAUAAGCCCGGGAAACUGGGUCUAAUACCGGAUAGGACUGCGCGGUGCAUGCUGUGUGGUGGAAAGAUUUAUCGGUGCAGGAUGGGCCCGCGGCCUAUCAGCUUGUUGGUGGGGUAAUGGCCUACCAAGGCGACGACGGGUAGCCGGCCUGAGAGGGCGACCGGCCACACUGGGACUGAGACACGGCCCAGACUCCUACGGGAGGCAGCAGUGGGGAAUAUUGCACAAUGGGCGCAAGCCUGAUGCAGCGACGCCGCGUGAGGGAUGACGGCCUUCGGGUUGUAAACCUCUUUCAGCAGGGACGAAGCGUGAGUGACGGUACCUGCAGAAGAAGCACCGGCCAACUACGUG
Molecule: ribosomal RNA, 462 nt
Filed under: uncultured bacterium
Lineage: Bacteria
Description: partial 16S ribosomal RNA
Rfam family: Bacterial small subunit ribosomal RNA
Source: RNAcentral